AUGAACGCUGGCGGCGUGCCUAAUACAUGCAAGUCGAGCGAACAGACGAGGAGCUUGCUCCUUUGACGUUAGCGGCGGACGGGUGAGUAACACGUGGAUAACCUACCUAUAAGACUGGGAUAACUUCGGGAAACCGGAGCUAAUACCGGAUAACAUGUUGAACCGCAUGGUUCAACAGUGAAAGACGGUCUUGCUGUCACUUAUAGAUGGAUCCGCGCCGCAUUAGCUAGUUGGUAAGGUAACGGCUUACCAAGGCAACGAUGCGUAGACGACCUGAGAGGGGGAUCGGCGACACUGGAACUGAGACACGGUCCAGGCGCCUACGAGAGGCAGCAGUAGGGAAUCGUACGCAGUGGGCGAAAGCCUGACGGAGCAACGCCGCGUGAGUGGAGAAGGUCUUCGGAUCGUAAAACUCUGUUAUUAGGGAAAAACAGAUGUGGAAGGAACUGUGCACGUCUUGACGGUACCUGAUCAGGAAGCCACGGCUAACUACGUG
Molecule: ribosomal RNA, 496 nt
Filed under: uncultured bacterium
Lineage: Bacteria
Description: partial 16S ribosomal RNA
Rfam family: Bacterial small subunit ribosomal RNA
Source: RNAcentral